This 484-nucleotide ribosomal RNA is filed under the name uncultured bacterium. Its description in RNAcentral is "partial 16S ribosomal RNA". It matches the Rfam family "Bacterial small subunit ribosomal RNA", at positions 30 to 507 of the family's 1533-position model. The record is from RNAcentral.
AUUGAACGCUGGCGGCAUGCCUAACACAUGCAAGUCGAGCGGACGAAGGGAGCUUGCUCCUGGAUUCAGCUGCGGACGGGUGAGUAAUGCCUAGGAAUCUGCCUGGUAGUUGGGGAUAACGUCCGGAAACGGGCGCUAAUAUCGCAUACGUCCAGAGGGAGAAAGUGGGGGAUCUUCGGACCUCACGCUAUCAGAUGAGCCUAGGUCGCAUUAGCUAGUUGGUGUGGUAACGGCCUACCAAGGCGACGAUCCGUAACUGGUCUGAGAGGAUGAUCAGUCACACUGGAACUGAGACACGGUCCAGACUCCUACGGGAGGCAGCAGUGGGGAAUAUUGGACAAUGGGCGAAAGCCUGAUCGAGCAAUGCCGCGUGUGUGAAGAAGGUCUUCGGAUUGUAAAGCUCUUUAAGUUGGGAGGAAGGGCAGUAAGUUAAUCCCUGGAUGUCUUGACGUUACCAACAGAAUAAGCCCCGGCUAACUUCGUG